RNAcentral lists this ribosomal RNA (497 nucleotides) under uncultured bacterium. RNAcentral describes it as "partial 16S ribosomal RNA". It matches the Rfam family "Bacterial small subunit ribosomal RNA", at positions 28 to 507 of the family's 1533-position model. The record is from RNAcentral.
GAUGAACGCUGGCGGCGUGCCUAAUACAUGCAAGUCGAGCGAACAGACGAGGAGCUUGCUCCUCUGACGUUAGCGGCGGACGGGUGAGUAACACGUGGAUAACCUACCUAUAAGACUGGGAUAACUUCGGGAAACCGGAGCUAAUACCGGAUAAUAUAUUGAACCGCAUGGUUCAAUAGUGAAAGACGGUUUUGCUGUCACUUAUAGAUGGAUCCGCGCCGCAUUAGCUAGUUGGUAAGGUAACGGCUUACCAAGGCAACGAUGCGUAGCCGACCUGAGAGAGUGAUCGGCCACACUGGAACUGAGACACGGUCCAGACUCCUACGGGAGGCAGCAGUAGGGAAUCUUCCGCAAUGGGCGAAAGCCUGACGGAGCAACGCCGCGUGAGCGAUGAAGGUCUUCGGAUCGUAAAACUCUGUUAUUAGGGAAGAACAAAUGUGUAAGUAACUAUGCACGUCUUGACGGUACCUAAUCAGAAAGCCACGGCUAACUACGUG